AGGGCAGAGUCAACUGGAAUUUUUUUGAAGAUGAAAGGACAUGCGGUCACACCUGCAGUCAGCUGUGUAAAAUAGCCGAGACACUCUGGGACCAGGUCUGAAAUCUGCCCUCUGGCUCUGCUUUGGUCCGGAUCAAUCAGCGCUGUUUCACUGCUCAGGGAGGCAGUCAGACAGACAGGGUAUAUAGAUGAAAGUCCCUCCCCCCAAGGAACUCAGUGUCUUGAGAAAAAACAGCAGGACUGAGCUUUGCUAAACACAGCACUGACAUUUUUCAGAAUACUUUAUUCAUAAUCAUUGCCUAUCACAAUAAUGAAUCCUGGGGUCACUUCCAAAAACAAUUUAAAGUACGAAAUAUCUGUUCUGAAUUGGAGAUGCAUGUAGACAAACAAGUGACGCCCUUGGCACAGGUAACAAUGAAACAUUGUUUUGCUGUUGUUGUCAUCAUAAAUUGAAAAUGACCUGCUGUCAGAACUGACAUUGACAGAUUUACGUUUGUAACAAUAAAAUACACACUGUGUUCUCAUUGUACAAACGACAGAAACUGUUCAGAUCAAGAAAUCUUGAAUUUUCCAAAAAUGAAUUUUUUGCUGCUUAUCGUGCUGCUUCAAUGAACGGUUGAUGAAGCAGUUACAGAACAUACUUUUCUUGUGUCUCCUUGUAUGUAUAAUGGAUCAACUGUAUACACAGCAUAAAGAUACAUAUAUAUACUA
Micropterus dolomieu (smallmouth bass) is the source of this 710-nucleotide long non-coding RNA. RefSeq lists it as uncharacterized. The transcript has 3 exons. The record is from RefSeq and is a predicted model, not a curated record. Lineage: Eukaryota; Metazoa; Chordata; Actinopteri; Centrarchiformes; Centrarchidae.